AUGGGGUUAUGGCUCAGUGGUAGAGCGCUCACCUCGCACAUGCAAGGCCCUGGGUUCAAUCCUCAGCACCACAUA
Molecule: transfer RNA, 75 nt
Filed under: Marmota monax (woodchuck)
Lineage: Eukaryota; Metazoa; Chordata; Mammalia; Rodentia; Sciuridae
Description: tRNA.Ala
Source: RNAcentral